This 77-nucleotide transfer RNA is filed under the name Dehalococcoidia bacterium. RNAcentral's name for it is "tRNA-Pro". It matches the Rfam family "tRNA". From Rfam's summary of the family: Transfer RNA (tRNA) molecules are approximately 80 nucleotides in length. Their secondary structure includes four short double-helical elements and three loops (D, anti-codon, and T loops). RNAcentral also lists the same sequence under 2 other names. The record is from RNAcentral. Lineage: Bacteria; Bacillati; Chloroflexota; Dehalococcoidia.
CGGGGUGUAGCGCAGUUGGUUAGCGCGCAGCGUUUGGGACGCUGAGGCCGGAGGUUCGAGUCCUCUCACCCCGACCA